Molecule: ribosomal RNA, 459 nt
Filed under: uncultured bacterium
Lineage: Bacteria
Description: partial 16S ribosomal RNA
Rfam family: Bacterial small subunit ribosomal RNA
Source: RNAcentral
CCUACGGGGGGCAGCAGUGAGGAAUAUUGGUCAAUGGCCGGAAGGCUGAACCAGCCAAGCCGCGUGAAGGACGAAGGUGCCAAGCAUUGUAAACUUCUUUUGUCAAGGGACAAAAUCAGGCUCGAGAGCCUGACCGAGGGUACUUGAAGAAAAAGCAUCGGCUAACUCCGUGCCAGCAGCCGCGGUAAUACGGAGGAUGCGAGCGUUAUCCGGAUUUAUUGGGUUUAAAGGGUGCGCAGGCGGAAGAUCAAGUCAGCGGUAAAAUUGAGAGGCUCAACCUCUUCGAGCCGUUGAAACUGGUUUUCUUGAGUGAGUGAGAAGUAUGCGGAAUGCGUGGUGUAGCGGUGAAAUGCAUAGAUAUCAUGAAGAACUCCGAUCGCGAAGGCAAGUGUCCGGGGUGCAACUGACGCUGAGGCUCGAAAGUGCGGGUAUCAAACAGGAUUAGAUACCCGAGUAGUC